Molecule: small RNA, 214 nt
Filed under: Plasmodium chabaudi chabaudi
Lineage: Eukaryota; Apicomplexa; Aconoidasida; Haemosporida; Plasmodiidae
Description: Plasmodium RNA of unkown function RUF1
Source: RNAcentral
UAUUUUAGGAAUAGUUUUUCUUGUUGUUUAUCUUUUGGUAGACUACAAGGGGAAUUAUUACUAGAAUAGUAAUUGUUCUUGGAAGAGCCAUUCCAUAUUCCCAACGUUUUCAACGCCGGUGUGGCAGCUUCUCGUUAAGUAAUGUUGAAUAUUGUUGAACAAACGGAUUGGUACACCCACAAAAAAUACAUAUUACUAUAUUUGUUGAAAAAAA